AGUGAACGCUGGCGGUAGGCCUAACACAUGCAAGUCGAACGGCAGCACAGUAAGAGCUUGCUCUUACGGGUGGCGAGUGGCGGACGGGUGAGGAAUACAUCGGAAUCUACUUUUUCGUGGGGGAUAACGUAGGGAAACUUACGCUAAUACCGCAUACGACCUACGGGUGAAAGCAGGGGAUCUUCGGACCUUGCGCGAUUGAAUGAGCCGAUGUCGGAUUAGCUAGUUGGCGGGGUAAAGGCCCACCAAGGCGACGAUCCGUAGCUGGUCUGAGAGGAUGAUCAGCCACACUGGAACUGAGACACGGUCCAGACUCCUACGGGAGGCAGCAGUGGGGAAUAUUGGACAAGGGGCGAAAGCCUGAUCCAGCCAUACCGCGUGGGUGAAGAAGGCCUUCGGGUUGUAAAGCCCCUUUGUUGGGAAAGAAAAGCAGCAGGUUAAUACCCCGCUGUUCUGACGGUACCCAAAGAAUAAGCACCGGCUAACUUCGUG
RNAcentral lists this ribosomal RNA (492 nucleotides) under uncultured bacterium. Its description in RNAcentral is "partial 16S ribosomal RNA". It matches the Rfam family "Bacterial small subunit ribosomal RNA", at positions 29 to 507 of the family's 1533-position model. The record is from RNAcentral.